Molecule: ribosomal RNA, 253 nt
Filed under: uncultured bacterium
Lineage: Bacteria
Description: partial 16S ribosomal RNA
Rfam family: Bacterial small subunit ribosomal RNA
Source: RNAcentral
UACGGAGGGGGCAAGCGUUAUUCGGAAUUAUUGGGCGUAAAGCGCGUGUAGGCGGCUCGGUAAGUCUGCUGUGAAAGUCCAAGGCUCAACCUUGGAAAGCCGGUGGAUACUGUCGAGCUCGAGUCCGGAAGAGGCGAGUGGAAUUCCUGGUGUAGCGGUGAAAUGCGCGGAUAUCAGGAGGAACACCGAUGGCGAAGGCAGGUCUCUGGGCAUUAACUGACGCUGAGGAGCGAAAGCAUGGGGAGCGAACAGG